AUGGAGGAAGCUCCUGUCACCGCAGCCACGGGGUCCUUGGGGCCCGUCGUAGCCAAGCUGGGUGCUUUGCUGGGCAGGGAGUACAAGCUUCGGCGCAGGACUCAGAAGGACGUCAGGUUCAUCAAAUCCAAGCUGAAAUCUAUGCACUCUAUUCUUUGGGCGACAUGGGAGAAGGAGGUUCUGGAUGUCGAAUCCAAGAACUUGAAGAAGGAAGCGCUGGAUCUCGCCAACGAUAUGCACGACGCUAUUGAUGACUUCAUCCUCAUCAUGGAUCCCAGCCGCAGAAACAAGCGAUUGAUGGUGCAGAGCAAGAUCGAAGCCAGCCGUCCUUUCCAAGAGUUCAAGACGAGAGUAGAUGACGUAUCGGGCCGCUGUCGCAGAAGGUGGAGGUGGGAGAAGAACAAGUCUUCUGAACCCAUCUCCAGCUUAUUUUCAAGAAGAGGCGUAAAAUCCAGCCCCCCCAGCAAACAACCACCUCCUCCUCGAGCUCCAUUUGUCUGCAAGGAUGCAUCAGAGCUCAUUGGUCUAGGCAAAUGGAGGGAUGAGCUCAUCAGGUACCUGGUAGGAGAACAACAAGAAGAGAGCACAAUGGUGCAGCCGCAGCUCAAAAUGGCAUCCAUUGUUGGGAUGGCCGGCAUGGGGAAAACAACCCUUGCCAACCUUGUCUAUAAGGAUAUUGGAAGUAAGUUUCAGUCACGGGCUUUUGUAUCCGUCACUCCAAGCCCUAACAUGAUUGAGGUUCUCACAAGUAUUCUCCAGCAAGUAGGAGCUGAACCACUUGCUGGCUCUGAAGCAAGGACAGUGGAAGAUAUCAUCCACGCCAUAUCAAAUUUCCUAGAUGACAAAAGAUGA
Molecule: ribosomal RNA, 852 nt
Filed under: Triticum aestivum (bread wheat)
Lineage: Eukaryota; Viridiplantae; Streptophyta; Magnoliopsida; Poales; Poaceae
Description: partial small subunit ribosomal RNA
Source: RNAcentral